ACGUUAUGCUCGUAGGCGUCGCCCAAGGAUGAGGCCGCGACCGAUCAGGUUGUUGGUGAGGUAAUGGCUCACCAAGCCUUUUACCGGUGCGGGCCGUGAGAGCGGGAGCCCGGAGAUGGGCACUGAGACAAGGGCCCAGGCCCUACGGGGCGCAGCAGUCGCGAAAACUUUGCAAUACACGAAAGUGUGACAGGGCUAUCCCGAGUGCCAUCCGCUGAGGAAGGCUUUUACCCAGUCUAGAACGCUGGGGGAAUAAGGAGAGGGCAAGUCUGGUGUCAGCCGCCGCGGUAAUACCAGCUCUCCGAGUGGUGUGGAUGUUUAUUGGGCCUAAAGCAUCCGUAGCUGGCUGAGUUAGUCCCUUGUUAAAUCCACCGAAUUAAUCGUUGGAUUGCGGGGGAUACUGCUCGGCUAGGGGACGAGAGAGGCAGACGGUAUUUCCGGGGUAGGGGUGAAAUCCUAUAAUCCCGGGAAGACCACCAGUGGCGAAGGCUGUCUGCUAGAACGCGCCCGACGGUGAGGGAUGAAAGCUGGGGGAGCGAACCGGAUUAGAUACCCGGGUAGUCCCAGCUGUAAACGAUGCAGGCUAGGUGUUUGGACGGCCACGUGCCGUUCUAGUGCCGCAGGGAAGCUGUUAAGCCUGCCGCCUGGGGAGUACGAUCGCAAG
This 664-nucleotide ribosomal RNA is filed under the name uncultured archaeon. Its description in RNAcentral is "bacterial SSU rRNA". It matches the Rfam family "Archaeal small subunit ribosomal RNA", at positions 187 to 847 of the family's 1478-position model. The record is from RNAcentral.